GAUGAAGAACGUAGCGAAAUGCGAUAAGUAAUGUGAAUUGCAGAAUUCAGUGAAUCAUCGAAUCUUUGAACGCACAUUGCGCCCGCUAGUAUUCUGGCGGGCAUGUCUGUUCGAGCGUCAUUUCAACCAUCAAGCCCUGUUUAGGCUUGUGUUGGGGCCCUGCGGCUGCCGCAGCCCCCUAAAUGCAGUGGCGGGCUCGUUGUCACUCCGAGCGCAGUAGCGUAUCUCGCUCUGGGCGUGGCGGCGGGUGCUAGCCGUGAAACACCCACUAAGGUUGACCUCGGAUCAGGUAGGAAUACCCGCUGAACUUAAGCAUAUCAAUAAGCGGAGGA
Molecule: unclassified non-coding RNA, 332 nt
Filed under: soil metagenome
Description: partial contains 5.8S ribosomal RNA, internal transcribed spacer 2, and large subunit ribosomal RNA
Rfam family: 5.8S ribosomal RNA (bases 1-120)
Source: RNAcentral